Long non-coding RNA from Hydra vulgaris (swiftwater hydra), 135 nucleotides. RefSeq lists it as uncharacterized. The record is from RefSeq and is a predicted model, not a curated record. Lineage: Eukaryota; Metazoa; Cnidaria; Hydrozoa; Anthoathecata; Hydridae.
UAGAAAAAUAAAAAAAAUUUCUUCUGGAAUUUGUCAAAAGGGUGUUGUGUUAUUCUUCAUUUUAAGAGCAGUUUUAGAGAAGCUGAUCGCUUUUUUAGCAAGUUCAACUUAUUUUCUCAUACAUAAAUUAAGGUU